This 253-nucleotide ribosomal RNA is filed under the name uncultured microorganism. RNAcentral describes it as "partial 16S ribosomal RNA". It matches the Rfam family "Bacterial small subunit ribosomal RNA", at positions 524 to 776 of the family's 1533-position model. The record is from RNAcentral.
UACGUAGGGUGCGAGCGUUAAUCGGAUUUACUGGGCGUAAAGCGUGCGCAGGCGGCCCGUUAAGACAGGUGUGAAAUCCCUGGGCUCAACCUAGGAAUUGCGCUUGUGACUGGCGGGCUAGAGUACGGUAGAGGGGGGUGGAAUUCCUGGUGUAGCAGUGAAAUGCGUAGAGAUCAGGAGGAACACCGAUGGCGAAGGCAGCCCCCUGGGACUGUACUGACGCUGAUGCGCGAAAGCGUGGGGAGCAAACAGG